RNAcentral lists this ribosomal RNA (497 nucleotides) under uncultured bacterium. Its description in RNAcentral is "partial 16S ribosomal RNA". It matches the Rfam family "Bacterial small subunit ribosomal RNA", at positions 28 to 507 of the family's 1533-position model. The record is from RNAcentral.
GAUGAACGCUGGCGGCGUGCCUAAUACAUGCAAGUCGAGCGAACAGACGAGGAGCUUGCUCCUCUGACGUUAGCGGCGGACGGGUGAGUAACACGUGGAUAACCUACCUAUAAGACUGGGAUAACUUCGGGAAACCGGAGCUAAUACCGGAUAACAUGUUGAACCGCAUGGUUUAACAGUGAAAGACGGUCUUGCUGUCACUUAUAGAUGGAUCCGCGCCGCAUUAGCUAGUUGGUAAGGUAACGGCUUACCAAGGCAACGAUGCGUAGCCGACCUGAGAGGGUGAUCGGCCACACUGGAACUGAGACACGGUCCAGACUCCUACGGGAGGCAGCAGAAGGGAAUCUUCCGCAAUGGGCGAAAGCCUGACGGAGCAACGCCGCGUGAGUGAAGAAGGUCUUCGGAUCGUAAAACUCUGUUACUAGGGAAGAACAAAUGUGUAAGUAACUAUGCACGUCUUGACGGUACCUAAUCAGAAAGCCACGGCUAACUACGUG